Molecule: ribosomal RNA, 468 nt
Filed under: uncultured bacterium
Lineage: Bacteria
Description: partial 16S ribosomal RNA
Rfam family: Bacterial small subunit ribosomal RNA
Source: RNAcentral
GACGAACGCUGGCGGCGUGCUUAACACAUGCAAGUCGAACGGAAAGGCCCUGCUUUUGUGGGGUGCUCGAGUGGCGAACGGGUGAGUAACACGUGAGUAACCUGCCCUUGACUUUGGGAUAACUUCAGGAAACUGGGGCUAAUACCGGAUAGGAGCUCCUGCUACAUGGUGGGGGUUGGAAAGUUUCGGCGGUUGGGGAUGGACUCGCGGCUUAUCAGCUUGUUGGUGGGGUAGUGGCUUACCAAGGCUUUGACGGGUAGCCGGCCUGAGAGGGUGACGGGACACACUGGGACUGAGAUACGGCCCACAGUACUACUGGAGGCAUGAGGGAGGAAUCUUGCACAAUGGGCGGACGCCGGAUGCAGCAACGCCGCGUGCGGGAUGACGGCCUUCGGGUUGUAAACCGCUUUCGCCUGUGACGAAGCGUUAUUGACGGUAAUGGGUAAAGAAGCACCGGCUAACUACGUG